This 429-nucleotide ribosomal RNA is filed under the name Pseudomonadota bacterium. Its description in RNAcentral is "Proteobacteria bacterium partial 16S ribosomal RNA". It matches the Rfam family "Bacterial small subunit ribosomal RNA", at positions 355 to 776 of the family's 1533-position model. The record is from RNAcentral. Lineage: Bacteria; Pseudomonadati; Pseudomonadota.
UGGGGAAUAUUGGACAAUGGGCGAAAGCCUGAUCCAGCCAUGCCGCGUGUGUGAAGAAGGUCUUCGGAUUGUAAAGCACUUUAAGUUGGGAGGAAGGGCAGUAAGCGAAUACCUUGCUGUUUUGACGUUACCGACAGAAUAAGCACCGGCUAACUCUGUGCCAGCAGCCGCGGUAAUACAGAGGGUGCAAGCGUUAAUCGGAAUUACUGGGCGUAAAGCGCGCGUAGGUGGCUCGUUAAGUUGAAUGUGAAAGCCCCGGGCUCAACCUGGGAACUGCAUCCAAAACUGGCGAGCUAGAGUAGGGCAGAGGGUGGUGGAAUUUCCUGUGUAGCGGAGAAAUGCGUAGAUAUAGGAAGGAACACCAGUGGCGAAGGCGACCACCUGGGCUCAUACUGACACUGAGGUGCGAAAGCGUGGGGAGCAAACAGG